AGCAGCCGCGGUAAUUCCAGCUCCAGUAGCGUAUAUUAAAGUUGUUGCAGUUAAAAAGCUCGUAGUUGAAUUUCGGGAUCAAAGAAUCGGUCAUGCCUUGGUAUGUACUGGUUUUAUUGGUUCUCACCUUCUAAAGAACCAUGAUGUCAUUCAUUUGAUGUUAUGGGGAAUUAGGACUGUUACCUUGAAAAAAUUAGAGUGUUUAAAGCAAGCUUACGCUUGAAUACAUUAGCAUGGAAUAAUGAAAUAGGACAUCAGAUUCUAUUUUGUUGGUUUCUAGGAUCGAUGUAAUGAUUAAUAGGGAUAGUUGGGGGCAUUAGUAUUCAAUUGUCAGAGGUGAAAUUCUUGGAUUUAUUGAAGACUAACUACUGCGAAAGCAUUUGCCAAGGAUGUUUUCAUUAAUCAAGAACGAAAGUUAGGGGAUCGAAGACGAUCAGAUACCGUCGUAGUCUUAACCAUAAACUAUGCCGACUAGGGAUCGGAUGAUGUUAAUUUUUUAAUGACUCAUUCGGCGCCUUAC
Molecule: unclassified non-coding RNA, 520 nt
Filed under: uncultured Glomus
Lineage: Eukaryota; Fungi; Glomeromycota; Glomeromycetes; Glomerales; Glomeraceae
Description: SSU rRNA
Rfam family: Eukaryotic small subunit ribosomal RNA
Source: RNAcentral